AUACUCUGGUUUCUCUUCAGAUUGCACAAAUCUUUCGCCUUUUACUAAAGAUUUCCGUGGAGAGGAACAAUUCUGAGUCACAAAUGAAUCUGUAUUAAAGAAUUUUAAAGAACUGA
Molecule: small nuclear RNA, 116 nt
Organism: Nycticebus coucang (slow loris)
Lineage: Eukaryota; Metazoa; Chordata; Mammalia; Primates; Lorisidae
Product: U5 spliceosomal RNA
Exons: 1
Source: RefSeq, a predicted model, not a curated record